CUUAUGGAGUCCGGGAGUGGAUAUCCCGGUGCAAGCGAGGUAGGAGUGCUGUUGGCAAAUCCGCAGCACGAUCUGAAGACGUGACGCGUACCGAACAUAAGUAGGGAAGUCCAGGCCCCUGGCUGUCAAGAAAAGCCGCUAUCGUUUUAUAUGUGCCCGUACCGCAAACCGACACAGGUGGAUGAGGAGAGAAUCCUAAGGCCGACGGGAGAAGUAUUGUUAAGGAACUCGGCAAAAUGACUCCGUAACUUCGGGAGAAGGAGUGCCAUGAGAGUGGCCGCAGAGAAAUGGCCCAAGCAACUGUUUAGCAAAAACACAGGUCUAUGCAAAACCGCAAGGUGAAGUAUAUGGGCUGACGCCUGCCCGGUGCUGGAAGGUUAAGGGGAGAGGUUAGCGCAAGCGAAGCUUUGAACUUAAGCCCCAGUAAACGGCGGCCGUAACAAUAACGGUCCUAAGGUAGCGAAAUUCCUUGUCGGGUAAGUUCCGACCCGCACGAAAGGCGUAAUGAUUUGGGCACUGUCUCAACGAUACACCCGGUGAAAUUGAAAUACCAGUGAAGAUGCUGGUUACCUGCGCCAGGACGGAAAGACCCCAUGGAGCUUUACUCCAGUUUGAUACUGGGAUUCGGCAUGGUAUGUACAGGAUAGGUGGGAGACUGAGAAGGUAUGACGUCAGUUGUACCGGAGUCGCUGUUGGGAUACCACCCUUACCAUGUUGGAUUUCUAACCUGUGGCCGUAAGCCGGUCAGGGGACAAUGUCAGGCGGGGAGUUUGACUGGGGCGGUCGCCUCCGAAAGGGUAUCGGAGGCGCUCAAAGGUUCCCUCAGAAUGGUUGGAAACCAUUCGAAGUGUGCAAAGGCAGAAGGGAGCUUGACUGUGACACCGACGGGUGGAGCAGGUACGAAAGUAGGACUUAGUGAUCCGGUGGUAUAAAGUGGGAUUGCCAUCGCUCAACGGAUAAAAGCUACCCUGGGGAUAACAGGCUUAUCACUCCCAAGAGUUCACAUCGACGGAGUGGUUUGGCACCUCGAUGUCGGCUCAUCGCAUCCUGGAGCUGUAGCGGGUUCCAAGGGUUGGGCUGUUCGCCCAUUAAAGCGGUACGCGAGCUGGGUUCAGAACGUCGUGAGACAGUUCGGUCCCUAUCCGGCGCAGGCGGAGGAAAUUUGAUAGGAGCUGUCCUUAGUACGAGAGGACCGGGAUGGACGGACCGCUGGUGUAUCUGUUGUACUGCCAAGUGCAUAGCAGAGUAGCCAAGUCUGGAAGGGAUAAACGCUGAAGGCAUCUAAGCGUGAAGCCCCCCUAAAGAUAAGAUUUCCCAUACCAUAAGGUAGUAAGACCCCUUGAAGACGACGAGGUAGAUAGGGCAGAGGUGGAAGUACGGUAACGUAUGGAGCUGACUGUUACUAAUCGGUCGAGGCUUUAACCU
This 1425-nucleotide ribosomal RNA is filed under the name metagenome. RNAcentral describes it as "bacterial LSU rRNA". It matches the Rfam family "Bacterial large subunit ribosomal RNA", at positions 1482 to 2925 of the family's 2925-position model. The record is from RNAcentral.